Pelodiscus sinensis (Chinese soft-shelled turtle) is the source of this 256-nucleotide non-coding RNA. Lineage: Eukaryota; Metazoa; Chordata; Testudines; Trionychidae. The record is from RefSeq and is a predicted model, not a curated record.
ACUGUCAAUCCUGCUUGUCCCUCGGCCCUAGCAACUGAAGCAUCCUAACGACGCCUCGCGUGUCCCGAGGCCUCUUAGCACAGAGCCCAGGACGGACCCUGAGCCUGCAGGCAGACAGAAAUCUUACAAAUGUUAGAAAGUCCAAAAUCCAGCAAGUCCUCUGUACUAAGUGCCAAAGAAUCAGCAAAGAAACUUAAAAGUAAAGGAGAAAUGAAAGCUAAAGGAUCAGCCAAAGGCAAGCGAAAACAGCUUGGUA